GGGAAGUGUGUCUGGGCCGCAGAGGGGACUGUGUGGCGGGAGGCCCGGCCGCGGCGGGAUGGCAGAGCGGACGGCGGAGCGGAUGGAGCGGGCGGCGCGGUGCACAGCGCCGUGCGGGGCCGCGAGCCGGGCCUGCUUGGUUAGCGCGGGCAGCGGGCGGCCUCGGGGGCCCCGCGGUGGGCGAGCUGCGCCGGGCGGUCCCGGGCGCGUCUGGCCGGCGGGGCGGAGGGACCAUCCCGCGGGCUCCUGGCCCGGCCGGCGGCUUGGGGACCGGACUGGGGUCACUCCCGGCCGGGACCCGUGGGCCCGUGUCCGGUCCUGACUCGGAGGCCGUGACUGCAGCACCGAGCGAGCGGCUGGUUCUCAGGAAACACGGUGCGCGAUGGCGGCAGAGUGUGGACAGGGCACCUGCUUGUGCUUUGCUUUUUUUAGGGAGGGGGUGGGGAGAAAGAAAAAGAGAGAGAAAGCGGGCAAUAUUGAGAGAGAAUCAUGAAUUGGCUGCCUCCACACUGCUGAUCGAGCCCACAACCCGGGCCUGUGCCCUGACCGGGAUUCGAGCCGUGACCUCCUGGUUAACAGGUGGAUGCUCAACCAUUGAGCAGCACCGGCCGGGCCUAGGUAAACACUUGCUGAAUGUAUGAAUGAAUACCAGCUUGGAGAGAAAUGACAGGGAAGUUCUGAUGGGCCUCGUGCCUUUCAUUCCUGUCAUUCCUCCCGUGGGCUUUCCUCUGUCACAGGAUAUAAAAUCCCUGUCAUCGAGAAUCUGUGUGCCACCUUAGACCAGCUGGAUGUCCUUGGUUUUCUGAGAAUGAAAUCUGGAAACUGGACGGCUUCCCCCUGCUGAGGAGACUGAAGACCCUCCUGUUGAACAACAGGACAUGGUGUCUGCCGGGCCGGCGAUCUGGUUCCCGGUGUAAUGAGGAAACUUCUCUCGCAGCCCCGUCAUCGAGGCGCUGGACCAGGCUCUGCCCUGCCUCAGGAGCUCGUCCUCAUCAUGGUGAGCCCCGGGGUCGGGUGUCCAGGUGGCGGGAGGCUCCACAUCCUGCAGAAGUUGGGGAGGUCCGGGCAGUGCCUCCCGCUCUCUCGUCCCCCCAUCCCUCUCCUCCACCUUCGUCUGACUCUGGGAAGCAGCCCGUGAUGGGUCCCAUCCACCUGGCAUCUGUCUCCCAAGGAGAUGGCCCGUCUCUGCAUUUGGUGUGGCUGCUGGGGGUCUGAGUUCAUGUAAUUUUCCUGGAACUGACGUGUCUCACUCCUGUAAGUCUUCCCUCCUCACUGCUCCCCCUCCUGUGCCUCCAGCUCUCCCAGGAACAGCUUAGAAGAUGAUUGUUAAGCAGGUGGGCUCUGUCCUUGGCACUGUAGGCGGCAAACAUAGGCAUCAUCCCCGUUGUUCCUGCUGCUGUUGGCACUGGUACGACGCCCCAACCCCCGCCUCCCCUUCUGGCUGUCACCACCGCUGUCUGUCCACAUCUGUCUACAUUUAAAGAUGACCAGUGUCACCUCUACCCGCCUAGACAAAGAGGUCCUGAGCCAUUGCGGCCCACACACCAUCUCGCUGUGUGUUUAACGGGCUUUUUAAGGCAGCACCUCUGAGGGUACAGAAGCUGUCAUGGCCAAGGCGGGAAGGUGCAGAAGCUCAAGGAUAUCAUCCUGCUUGUUCGCUAGAAGCCGAUCAGGAGCCGGAGCGGGAGGACAGGACCAGGGGGGCCUCGCUACGAUGCAGCUGCAGUGCGAAGUGUCUCACAGGGGGUCUGCUCUCCUCCCACAGGGUGACCUGGACCCGCCUGUGUCGCUCAGUUCACUUAUCUCCCUGACCCAGGGACAGCGAGUCCUUUACAACAACUCCCUGCCAGGCCUUGACCUCAUCAGCCAUUGAGGACAAAGGGACGCUUAAUGGAACUGGAACUGGAAAAGCCUUGCUGGGGCAGCUGAAUUCCCGACUGAGCUGGGCACCUACUCAGAGCUGAUCCGAUGCGGCCAAUGCCACCCCACCCGCAGGACCUCCAUCCCUGGUGCGGAGGAGCAGAAGGCAGCCGAUUCUCACCGUGGAUGUGUAUCCCCGUCGCUGAAAUCAAUAAAAAUAUGUUGUUUUUCUUUCACAAAGAAACACACUGGCGGCUGUGUCAGCUUGCAGGGCUUCGGGUGGGGACGGCCUGUCAGGUGAGGUGGCAGUGGCAGGAGGAAAGAUCCCAGGUUUGAUUCCAGUCAAGGGCACAUACUUGGGUUUCAGCCAAAUACCCAGUAGGGGCUGUGCAACAGGCUGCU
Molecule: long non-coding RNA, 2262 nt
Organism: Pipistrellus kuhlii (Kuhl's pipistrelle)
Lineage: Eukaryota; Metazoa; Chordata; Mammalia; Chiroptera; Vespertilionidae
Exons: 3
Source: RefSeq, a predicted model, not a curated record